GAUCUGUGAUGAUUUUUAGAAUAUAUCUGAUUCUAAAAUUGAUGUCUACUACUACUUUAGCUCUAGAAUUACUCUGAGAUCUG
Molecule: small nucleolar RNA, 83 nt
Filed under: Salvator merianae (Argentine black and white tegu)
Lineage: Eukaryota; Metazoa; Chordata; Lepidosauria; Squamata; Teiidae
Description: Small nucleolar RNA SNORD45 (ENSSMRG00000020176.1)
Rfam family: Small nucleolar RNA SNORD45
About the family: U45 belongs to the C/D class of snoRNA which contain the C (UGAUGA) and D (CUGA) box motifs. Most of the members of the box C/D family function in directing site-specific 2'-O-methylation of substrate RNAs.
Source: Rfam by way of RNAcentral